Molecule: transfer RNA, 66 nt
Filed under: Agria mihalyii
Lineage: Eukaryota; Metazoa; Arthropoda; Insecta; Diptera; Sarcophagidae
Description: partial tRNA-Ile
Source: RNAcentral
AAUGAAUUGCCUGAAAAAGGAUUACCUUGAUAGGGUAAAUCAUGUAACACAAUAUUACAUUCAUUA